UCUGUUGUUUCAGACAUCAGUUGUCUCUGGGUUUUGGUGGCUCUUCAGAUAAUAAGAGCAGGUGGCCAUGGCCUUGGCAGGCCGAGGAGUCUGGCAGACGUGAGUGAUCUUGGCUGGCAUAUUAGAAGACAUGGACCCAGAGAAGAAAGCGUAAGGUGUGGUGGGGCAGCGGAAAGGACUCUGGGUCUAGGCCUCUCAAGACUUCUGCGCCCAGUAAGGAGUCAGGAAUUACACAUCGGACCAGAGGCAUUUGAGAACAUUUACCGGCUGUUGACGGGAACCAGUACAGAGGGAGGUAUAAACACAGGAGAGGGGAGGAUGGAUCAUUGAGAAUUGAACCCCGGAGAGUUCUUGGGAUGGAUUGGAUGUAGACAGGAAGAGGAUACCACAUUUUCUCACUUGAGAACGACAAUCUCCAGGUCCAUCCAUGUUGCUGCAAAUGGAAUUAUUUUAUUCUUUUUCGU
Camelus dromedarius (Arabian camel) is the source of this 464-nucleotide long non-coding RNA. RefSeq lists it as uncharacterized. NCBI's taxonomy places the organism in Eukaryota, Metazoa, Chordata, Mammalia, Artiodactyla, Camelidae. The record is from RefSeq and is a predicted model, not a curated record. The transcript is spliced from 3 exons.